RNAcentral lists this ribosomal RNA (133 nucleotides) under uncultured bacterium. RNAcentral's name for it is "partial 16S ribosomal RNA". The record is from RNAcentral.
GGUACCGUCAAUGAUAAUACCUAUUGGAUAUUAUCAAUUUCUUCCCAAUUGACAGAGCUUUACGACCCAAAGGCCUUCUUCACUCACGCGGCGUUGCUGCGUCAGGGUUUCCCCCAUUGCGCAAAAUUCCUCA